UGGGCAUCAAUGAAGAUUGAAUUCCUUGUUAUCCUUGCACAAUGAUUGUUAAGUGAUGAAAAUUAAGGGGGAAAGUUUGAAACCUGAGAUGCUC
This is a non-coding RNA of Spinacia oleracea (spinach), 94 nucleotides long. Lineage: Eukaryota; Viridiplantae; Streptophyta; Magnoliopsida; Caryophyllales; Amaranthaceae. The record is from Rfam.